This is a non-coding RNA of Aspergillus chevalieri, 83 nucleotides long. The record is from the annotation of a RefSeq genome assembly. NCBI's taxonomy places the organism in Eukaryota, Fungi, Ascomycota, Eurotiomycetes, Eurotiales, Aspergillaceae.
AGCAAGAUGGCAGAGUGGUCUAAGGCACCUGCAUUUAGGCUGCAGUAUUGAAAGAUACAUGGCUUUGAAUUCCAUCCUUGCCA